AUUGAACGCUGGCGGCAGGCCUAACACAUGCAAGUCGAACGGUAACAGGAAGCAGCUUGCUGCUUCGCUGACGAGUGGCGGACGGGUGAGUAAUGUCUGGGAAACUGCCUGAUGGAGGGGGAUAACUACUGGAAACGGUAGCUAAUACCGCAUAACGUCGCAAGACCAAAGAGGGGGACCUUAGGGCCUCUUGCAAUCGGAUGUGCCCAGAUGGGGUUAGCUAGUAGGUGGGGUAACGGCUCACCUAGGCGACGAUCCCUAGCUGGUCUGAGAGGAUGACCAGCCACACUGGAACUGAGACACGGUCCAGACUCCUACGGGAGGCAGCAGUGGGGAAUAUUGCACAAUGGGCGCAAGCCUGAUGCAGCCAUGCCGCGUGUAUGAAGAAGGCCUUCGGGUUGUAAAGUACUUUCAGCGGGGAGGAAGGGAGUAAAGUUAAUACCUUUGCUCAUUGACGUUACCCGCAGAAGAAGCACCGGCGAACUCCGU
RNAcentral lists this ribosomal RNA (489 nucleotides) under uncultured bacterium. RNAcentral describes it as "partial 16S ribosomal RNA". It matches the Rfam family "Bacterial small subunit ribosomal RNA", at positions 30 to 506 of the family's 1533-position model. The record is from RNAcentral.